This 2446-nucleotide small RNA is filed under the name Pongo abelii (Sumatran orangutan). Its description in RNAcentral is "retained intron". The record is from RNAcentral. Lineage: Eukaryota; Metazoa; Chordata; Mammalia; Primates; Hominidae.
AAACCUCGGAACAGACCUUUGCCUGCCAACUUCCCAGCUCUCUGGCCAGCUUCUGAUCGUUAGCAGUGGGUUGGCUCCCAUGAAAACCUCAAAGGCAUCCCAGCGCUAUAGAGGCAUCCGGAGAAAUGCCAGCCAGUGCUACCUCUACCAGGAAUCUCUGCUGCUCAGCAACUUGGAUGACAGCUUUAGUGCUGAUGAAACAGGGGACAGCAAUGAUCCGGAACAAAUCUUCCAGAAUAUACAGUUCCAGAAAGAUCUCAUGGCGAACAUUCGCUGCAGACCCUGGACUAUGGGACAGAAGCUGAGGGCACUGAGACGAGCGAAGGACAUUGUGCUGAAGUUCGAAGGGAGGCUGACCAGGACCCGAGGCUACCAAGCAGCAGGUGCAGAGCUCUGGCGGAAAUUUGCUCGUCUCGCCUGUAACUUUGUGGUCAUCUUCAUUCCCUGGGAAAUGAGGAUAAAGAAAAUCGAGAGUCAUUUUGGAUCUGGCGUUGCCUCCUAUUUCAUAUUCUUGAGAUGGUUAUUUGGAAUUAAUAUUGUGCUCACCAUUAUGACAGGUGCUUUUAUUGUCAUUCCGGAGCUGAUUGCAGGCCAGCCCUUUGGAAGCACAGCCAGGAAGACCAUCCCCAAGGAGCAGGUUUCGUCUGCCCAAGACCUGGACACCGUCUGGUCUCUGGGGGGCUACCUCCAGUACUCUGUCCUCUUCUAUGGAUAUUAUGGCAGGGAGAGGAAGAUCGGGAGAGCUGGUUACCGGCUGCCCUUGGCGUAUUUCCUAGUGGGGAUGGCAGUGUUUGCUUACAGCUUCAUCAUUCUUUUAAAAAAGAUGGCUAAGAACUCCCGCACGAGCCUUGCCAGUGCUUCCAACGAAAACUACACCUUCUGCUGGCGGGUGUUCUGUGCCUGGGACUACCUCAUUGGAAACCCAGAGGCUGCAGAGAGCAAAACAGCUGCCAUAGUGAACAGCAUCAGGGAAGCUAUACUGGAAGAACAGGAGAAAAAGAAAAGCAAAAACCUGGCAGUGACCAUCUGCCUGAGGAUUAUUGCCAACAUCUUGGUGCUUCUCUCACUGGCUGGGAGCAUUUAUCUCAUCUACUUUGUGGUGGACCGGUCCCAGAAGCUGGAGCAGUCGAAGAAGGAGCUGACACUCUGGGAAAAGAAUGAGCAGGUCAGUGUGGUGGUCUCCCUUGUCACCAUGAUAGCACCGUCAGCCUUUGACCUCAUUGCUGCCUUAGAGAUGUACCACCCCAGGACCACGCUGCGCUUCCAGCUUGCAAGGGUCCUUGUGCUGUAUCUGGGAAAUCUCUACAGCCUGAUCAUUGCUCUCCUGGACAAAGUUAAUAGCAUGAGCAUUGAGGAAAUGGCUACCAAAAAUAACACAAGUCAUUGGAUAGAUUCCACCACCUUCUUUGCAACCAGGACAGCCCCUGAAGAAGAGAAAUGGUCCACAUCUCGGCCUGGAAUGGGGCUCAGGAGAAACAACACAUGGGCCUUGGAAGAGACCAGCAUUUCAGCUUACACCAUGCCUCUCAUAAAGGCCAACAAGACUAGCCUCUACACUCAGAGUCCACAAGACCAGUGCUGGGAGACAUACGUUGGUCAGGAGAUGCUGAAGCUCUCCAUCAUUGACAUGCUCUUCACUGUGGCGAGCAUUCUUCUCAUAGACUUCUUCCGAGGACUUUUCGUGCGGUACUUAAGUGACUACUGGUGUUGGGAUCUGGAAAGCAAGUUUCCUGAAUAUGGAGAAUUCAAAAUAGCUGAGAAUGUGCUACAUUUAGUCUACAACCAAGGAAUGAUUUGGAUGGGGGCCUUUUUCUCCCCAUGUCUCCCAGCGUUCAAUGUUCUCAAACUCAUUGGGCUCAUGUACCUGAGGAGCUGGGCUGUGCUGACCUGCAAUGUGCCCCACCAGCAAGUAUUUCGAGCCUCAAGAUCCAACAACUUCUACUUGGCAAUGCUCCUGUUUAUGCUGUUUCUGUGCAUGCUGCCAACCAUUUUUGCUAUUGUCCGAUACAAGCCAUCUCUAAACUGUGGGCCAUUCAGUGGACAAGAGAAAAUUUAUGACAUUGUGUCAGAAACGAUUGAGAAAGACUUUCCCGUGUGGUUUGGCUCCGUGGUUGGGCACAUCAGUAGCCCCGUGGUCAUCCUGCCCGCGGUACUCCUGCUUUUCAUGCUCAUCUAUUAUCUCCAGAGCAUCGCACGGUCUCUAAAGCUCAGCAACCACCAGCUCAAAAUGCAGAUCCAAAACGCAAGUAUUUCAUGAACUUUGCUAUUGUGAAUAUGUGUCAACCAUAUGACUGACAUCUUGCCAGCGUGGGAAUACAAGUGAGGCCACAUCUUCAAGGUUUCUGUGACUCUUGGCCACCCACUAUGGUGCAAGGCCACCAAUCCCCAGAUGUCCAAGAGUUAUUUCUAAGAAUACCCAGGGAUGGCUCCCCUUUGCUAGGAAGAA